RNAcentral lists this ribosomal RNA (266 nucleotides) under uncultured soil bacterium. RNAcentral's name for it is "partial 16S ribosomal RNA". It matches the Rfam family "Bacterial small subunit ribosomal RNA", at positions 26 to 285 of the family's 1533-position model. The record is from RNAcentral.
AGGACGAACGCUGGCGGCGUGCCUAAUACAUGCAAGUAGGACGCUGAAGGAGGAGCUUGCUUCUCUGGAUGAGUUGCGAACGGGUGAGUAACGCGUAGGUAACCUGCCUGGUAGCGGGGGAUAACUAUUGGAAACGAUAGCUAAUACCGCAUAAUAGUAGAUGUUGCAUGACAUUUGCUUAAAAGGUGCAAUUGCAUCACUACCAGAUGGACCUGCGUUGUAUUAGCUAGUUGGUGGGGUAACGCUCACCAAGGCGACGAUACAUA